GACGAACGCUGGCGGCGUGCUUAACACAUGCAAGUCGAACGCGCCUGUCCUCUGGGUUUCUGGGGGGUGGGUGAGUGGCGAACGGGUGAGUAACACGUGAGUAACCUGCCCCCUUCUUCGGGAUAACGGUCUGAAAGGGCUGCUAAUACCGGGUAUUCACUGGUCUCCGCAUGGGGUCUGGUGGAAAGGUUUUUUUCUGGUGGGGGAUGGGCUCGCGGCCUAUCAGCUUGUUGGUGGGGUGAUGGCCCACCAAGGCUUUGACGGGUAGCCGGCCUGAGAGGGUGACCGGUCACAUUGGGACUGAGAUACGGCCCAGACUCCUACGGGAGGCAGCAGUGGGGAAUAUUGCACAAUGGGCGCAAGCCUGAUGCAGCGACGCCGCGGGAGGGAUGGAGGCCUUCGGGUUGUGAACCUCUUUCGCCCGUGGUCAAGCCGCGACGUGGGUCGUGGUGAGGGUAGUGGGUAAAGAAGCGCCGGCUAACUACGUG
RNAcentral lists this ribosomal RNA (488 nucleotides) under uncultured bacterium. Its description in RNAcentral is "partial 16S ribosomal RNA". It matches the Rfam family "Bacterial small subunit ribosomal RNA", at positions 28 to 507 of the family's 1533-position model. The record is from RNAcentral.